GGCGGCGUGCCUAACACAUGCAAGUCGAGCGAGGAGAUUCCUUCGGGAUGAUCCUAGCGGCGGACGGGUGAGUAACACGUGGGCAACCUGCCUCAUAGAGAGGAAUAGCCUUCCGAAAGGGAGAUUAAUACCUCAUAACAUUGCAGUUUCGCAUGGAACAGCAAUUAAAGGAGUAAUCCGCUAUGAGAUGGGCCCGCGGCGCAUUAGCUAGUUGGUGAGGUAACGGCUCACCAAGGCGACGAUGCGUAGCCGACCUGAGAGGGUGAUCGGCCACAUUGGGACUGAGACACGGCCCAGACUCCUACGGGAGGCAGCAGUGGGGAAUAUUGCACAAUGGGGGAAACCCUGAUGCCAGCAACGCCGCGUGAGUGAUGACGGCCUUCGGGUUGUAAAGCUCUGUCUUCAGGGACGAUAAUGACGGUACCUGAGGAGGAAGCCACGGCUAACUACGUGCCAGCCGCCGC
This 464-nucleotide ribosomal RNA is filed under the name uncultured bacterium. RNAcentral's name for it is "bacterial SSU rRNA". It matches the Rfam family "Bacterial small subunit ribosomal RNA", at positions 38 to 518 of the family's 1533-position model. The record is from RNAcentral.